AUUGAACGCUGGCGGAAUGCUUUACACAUGCAAGUCGAACGGCAGCACGGGGCAACCUGGUGGCGAGUAGCGAACGGGUGAGUAAUACAUCGGAACGUGCCCAAUCGUGGGGGAUAACGUAGCGAAAGUUACGCUAAUACCGCAUACGAUCUACGGAUGAAAGCGGGGGAUCGCAAGACCUCGCGCGAAUGGAGCGGCCGAUGUCAGAUUAGGUAGUUGGUGGGGUAAAGGCUCACCAAGCCGACGAUCUGUAGCUGGUCUGAGAGGACGACCAGCCACACUGGGACUGAGACACGGCCCAGACUCCUACGGGAGGCAGCAGUGGGGAAUUUUGGACAAUGGGCGCAAGCCUGAUCCAGCCAUUCCGCGUGCAGGAUGAAGGCCUUCGGGUUGUAACUGCUUUUGUACGGUAACGAAACGGUGAGCUCUAAUACAGUUUGUCUAAUGACGGUACCGUAAGAAUAAG
This 466-nucleotide ribosomal RNA is filed under the name uncultured bacterium. RNAcentral describes it as "bacterial SSU rRNA". It matches the Rfam family "Bacterial small subunit ribosomal RNA", at positions 30 to 490 of the family's 1533-position model. The record is from RNAcentral.